Molecule: ribosomal RNA, 2892 nt
Filed under: Klebsiella pneumoniae
Lineage: Bacteria; Pseudomonadati; Pseudomonadota; Gammaproteobacteria; Enterobacterales; Enterobacteriaceae
Also listed under: 1 other name
Description: bacterial LSU rRNA
Rfam family: Bacterial large subunit ribosomal RNA
Source: RNAcentral
UUAAGCGACUAAGCGUACACGGUGGAUGCCCUGGCAGUCAGAGGCGAUGAAGGACGUGCUAAUCUGCGAAAAGCGUCGGUAAGGUGAUAUGAACCGUUAUAACCGGCGAUGUCCGAAUGGGGAAACCCAGUGCAAUUCGUUGCACUAUCGUUAACUGAAUACAUAGGUUAACGAGGCGAACCGGGGGAACUGAAACAUCUAAGUACCCCGAGGAAAAGAAAUCAACCGAGAUUCCCCCAGUAGCGGCGAGCGAACGGGGAGCAGCCCAGAGUCUGAAUCAGCUUGUGUGUUAGUGGAACGGUCUGGAAAGUCCGACGGUACAGGGUGAUAGUCCCGUACACCAAAAUGCACAGGUUGUGAACUCGAAGAGUAGGGCGGGACACGUGGUAUCCUGUCUGAAUAUGGGGGGACCAUCCUCCAAGGCUAAAUACUCCUGACUGACCGAUAGUGAACCAGUACCGUGAGGGAAAGGCGAAAAGAACCCCGGCGAGGGGAGUGAAAAAGAACCUGAAACCGUGUACGUACAAGCAGUGGGAGCACCUUCGGGUGUGACUGCGUACCUUUUGUAUAAUGGGUCAGCGACUUAUAUUCUGUAGCAAGGUUAACCGUAUAGGGGAGCCGCAGGGAAACCGAGUCUUAACUGGGCGUUAAGUUGCAGGGUAUAGACCCGAAACCCGGUGAUCUAGCCAUGGGCAGGUUGAAGGUUGGGUAACACUAACUGGAGGACCGAACCGACUAAUGUUGAAAAAUUAGCGGAUGACUUGUGGCUGGGGGUGAAAGGCCAAUCAAACCGGGAGAUAGCUGGUUCUCCCCGAAAGCUAUUUAGGUAGCGCCUCGUGAACUCAUCUUCGGGGGUAGAGCACUGUUUCGGCUAGGGGGUCAUCCCGACUUACCAACCCGAUGCAAACUACGAAUACCGAAGAAUGUUAUCACGGGAGACACACGGCGGGUGCUAACGUCCGUCGUGAAGAGGGAAACAACCCAGACCGCCAGCUAAGGUCCCAAAGUCAUGGUUAAGUGGGAAACGAUGUGGGAAGGCACAGACAGCCAGGAUGUUGGCUUAGAAGCAGCCAUCAUUUAAAGAAAGCGUAAUAGCUCACUGGUCGAGUCGGCCUGCGCGGAAGAUGUAACGGGGCUAAACCAUGCACCGAAGCUGCGGCAGCGACACNNNNNNNNNNNNNNNNNNNNNNNNNNNNNNNNNNNNNNCCUGUGAGGGUUGCUGGAGGUAUCAGAAGUGCGAAUGCUGACAUAAGUAACGAUAAAGCGGGUGAAAAGCCCGCUCGCCGGAAGACCAAGGGUUCCUGUCCAACGUUAAUCGGGGCAGGGUGAGUCGACCCCUAAGGCGAGGCCGAAAGGCGUAGUCGAUGGGAAACAGGUUAAUAUUCCUGUACUUGGUGUUACUGCGAAGGGGGGACGGAGAAGGCUAUGUUAGCCGGGCGACGGUUGUCCCGGUUUAAGCAUGUAGGCUGGUUAUCCAGGCAAAUCCGGAUAAUCAAGGCUGAGGUGUGAUGACGAGGCACUACGGUGCUGAAGUAACAAAUGCCCUGCUUCCAGGAAAAGCCUCUAAGCAUCAGGUAACAUCAAAUCGUACCCCAAACCGACACAGGUGGUCAGGUAGAGAAUACCAAGGCGCUUGAGAGAACUCGGGUGAAGGAACUAGGCAAAAUGGUGCCGUAACUUCGGGAGAAGGCACGCUGGUGUGUAGGUGAAGUCCCUGCGGAUGGAGCUGAGACCAGUCGAAGAUACCAGCUGGCUGCAACUGUUUAUUAAAAACACAGCACUGUGCAAACACGAAAGUGGACGUAUACGGUGUGACGCCUGCCCGGUGCCGGAAGGUUAAUUGAUGGGGUUAUCCGUAAGGAGAAGCUCUUGAUCGAAGCCCCGGUAAACGGCGGCCGUAACUAUAACGGUCCUAAGGUAGCGAAAUUCCUUGUCGGGUAAGUUCCGACCUGCACGAAUGGCGUAAUGAUGGCCAGGCUGUCUCCACCCGAGACUCAGUGAAAUUGAACUCGCUGUGAAGAUGCAGUGUACCCGCGGCAAGACGGAAAGACCCCGUGAACCUUUACUAUAGCUUGACACUGAACAUUGAGCCUUGAUGUGUAGGAUAGGUGGGAGGCUUUGAAGCGUGGACGCCAGUCUGCGUGGAGCCAACCUUGAAAUACCACCCUUUAAUGUUUGAUGUUCUAACGUGGGCCCCUGACCGGGGUUGCGGACAGUGUCUGGUGGGUAGUUUGACUGGGGCGGUCUCCUCCCAAAGCGUAACGGAGGAGCACGAAGGUUAGCUAAUCCUGGUCGGACAUCAGGAGGUUAGUGCAAUGGCAUAAGCUAGCUUGACUGCGAGCGUGACGGCGCGAGCAGGUGCGAAAGCAGGUCAUAGUGAUCCGGUGGUUCUGAAUGGAAGGGCCAUCGCUCAACGGAUAAAAGGUACUCCGGGGAUAACAGGCUGAUACCGCCCAAGAGUUCAUAUCGACGGCGGUGUUUGGCACCUCGAUGUCGGCUCAUCACAUCCUGGGGCUGAAGUAGGUCCCAAGGGUAUGGCUGUUCGCCAUUUAAAGUGGUACGCGAGCUGGGUUUAGAACGUCGUGAGACAGUUCGGUCCCUAUCUGCCGUGGGCGCUGGAGAAUUGAGGGGGGCUGCUCCUAGUACGAGAGGACCGGAGUGGACGCAUCACUGGUGUUCGGGUUGUCAUGCCAAUGGCACUGCCCGGUAGCUAAAUGCGGAAGAGAUAAGUGCUGAAAGCAUCUAAGCACGAAACUUGCCCCGAGAUGAGUUCUCCCUGAGACUUUAAGUCUCCUGAAGGAACGUUGAAGACGACGACGUUGAUAGGCCGGGUGUGUAAGCGCAGCGAUGCGUUGAGCUAACCGGUACUAAUGAACCGUGAGGCUUAACCUU